GUGUUCGUAGCUUAAUGGAUAGAGCACCAGACUACGGAUCUGGGGGUUGAGAGUUCAAGUCUUUCCGAACACA
RNAcentral lists this transfer RNA (73 nucleotides) under Scherffelia dubia. RNAcentral describes it as "tRNA-Arg". It matches the Rfam family "tRNA". Rfam says of the family: Transfer RNA (tRNA) molecules are approximately 80 nucleotides in length. Their secondary structure includes four short double-helical elements and three loops (D, anti-codon, and T loops). Further hydrogen bonds mediate the characteristic L-shaped molecular structure. tRNAs have two regions of fundamental functional importance: the anti-codon, which is responsible for specific mRNA codon recognition, and the 3' end, to which the tRNAs corresponding amino acid is attached (by aminoacyl-tRNA synthetases). tRNAs cope with the degeneracy of the genetic code in two manners: having more than one tRNA (with a specific anti-codon) for a particular amino acid; and 'wobble' base-pairing, i.e. permitting non-standard base-pairing at the 3rd anti-codon position. Lineage: Eukaryota; Viridiplantae; Chlorophyta; Chlorodendrophyceae; Chlorodendrales; Chlorodendraceae. The record is from RNAcentral.